This is a long non-coding RNA of Anguilla rostrata (American eel), 1402 nucleotides long. RefSeq lists it as uncharacterized. The record is from RefSeq and is a predicted model, not a curated record. The transcript is spliced from 2 exons. NCBI's taxonomy places the organism in Eukaryota, Metazoa, Chordata, Actinopteri, Anguilliformes, Anguillidae.
UUAAGUAGAGACAAUUAUUUGACAGAUGCCUUAGUGAAAAAGCAAGCCUACACACGACUGCCCAAAGAGCGCGCCAAGAAAACGGGAAAUUACGAACACCAGUAGCAAAACUGCAAAUCGGGCGUCGAACAAUUUCAAGCCAACUGCGCUGGUGAGCCUAUCAAAAUCCAAAAAAGAAAUGUCAUGCUCGUCCUACUGUACAUUUAUAAAAGCGGAUGUCCAUGCCGUCUACACCACUGAUGCGUGUGGAUUAUCCAGGUUUAGAAUUUUUUUUCAAGAACUCUGCUCAGGAAAAAUGGUGAUAAUAUCUGAAAUACCUCUAUUUUGGUCAGUACUUAAAAAUUGUAACCAUAUAAUAGUUCUACUAGAAGCACGGCGCUGCUGAAGUUGGACUGAAGUCUCAUCCUCAGAAUAACGAGAAACGCGCUGGGUAGCUGGACUUCCCUGCAGUUAAAAUUCAUCUGUUCAGUGCAUUCUCGUGAAAUGCUUAUUUAAAUUUUGUACAUAAAUUUUGAGAUUGGAAGAAAGUUUUAAGAAAAUAAAACUACAUCGCGCACACUUCGCUAUGAAGUAUUGGCUAGCCCAUUAUUUAGGAAAGUCACUGCUGAAUUGUGGCGAUGUGGUCAAACCACCCGAACCGUGACUGAAAAGGGCGUUAAUGCUUAAAUAACAGAAAAGAAGAAAAGUUACAAUAACCUCGUAAAGCCCGUGAUCUAUUGUUUUCCACCUGGGACAGGAAUGCAUGCAUUCUCGGUAAGCUCUGAGGAUCUUCGUGCAGUAGAACAGAGGGACCCUGGAGCAACUGGAGACUCCUACAGUGACGAAACACCUUUGAACCGCUGCCAAGAUCGCUCACCAGGAUCCUCUCAAGUACAUUACACAUCACAUGCUCAAAAUCAGGAAAUUGAUGAGGGGGAGGGCAAAUCAUUCAGACUAAAAAGUGUUGACUUUUUUUUGUUUAAAUUGGAAUGUUUGACGCACCUCUUGGAAGUGAGUAGACUGUGCCUGAGUAUCGGAGAGUACAAACUGUGGCUGACGUUGGGGUGAAUCCGUGCUCAGUCUCCAACAAUAGAGAGGGUGCAGGUGAAAAUAAAAGACAUGGGACAAUGCAGGCAGCUGUAGACUGAAAAGCAAUCCUCUGGUUGAUGCUGUUUCUCAAUACCAAGUUUUACGUAUACCCUGUCAUUCAAACACAGCUAGCUUUACCUGCCAUUUUUCCUUUUCUCUGGUGCUCUGCUUUAUUCAGAUUCAAUAAAUCUGACUGUCAACAGCCUCUUUUGGUAAAUGCUCCUUCUGUAAACAAGUAGUGCAUGAAAGAGGAGAAUAGGGAACUUUUAGCGUGCAUUCAGAGCCUCCGCUCUUACAUGUUGUCUGCCACGUUUGUGUCAACCGCAAGCUUUUU